Molecule: long non-coding RNA, 492 nt
Filed under: Homo sapiens (human)
Lineage: Eukaryota; Metazoa; Chordata; Mammalia; Primates; Hominidae
Description: non-protein coding LHX1-DT:16
Source: RNAcentral
GGAGACCGCGUUUAGAGGAUCAGUGGCGGCGGCACCCGCGGCCCCGCGCGGCGCGGACGGCGGGCAGCACCGUGCCUGGGCCCCCUCCUGCUCCGCUCUCAAUCUGGGGCAUGACUUUGAAGGGAAGGUUGCUAAGCCUCCUAAAUCCCGAUACACACCAAUGCCGUUUCCCCACUCAUCUGGAAACCUGGUGGGUCCUGCCCAAACGCCUGUAUGUCAAUUCCACCUCCUGCUUGGCGACCCACCAUGCCCACAUUUUCCACUCAAGCCUUUCAGAUCUGCUUUGGGCACCUGAAGACAGAGAGAAUCAUCUUUCAAGAGUCAGAAACUUUGCACGUGCCAUUCCCUCUGCUUAGAAUGCUUUUCCCUUUCUCCCAAUUGCCUUAUCAUCAGCCUGGGAAAAUAUUUAUUUCGGCUCCUAAAAUCUCAGAUAUCACUUCUCCAGGAGCUUUCCCAGAUGCCUCACUUGAUUCCAGAAGGAGCUAUCGCCAC